This 253-nucleotide ribosomal RNA is filed under the name uncultured bacterium. RNAcentral's name for it is "partial 16S ribosomal RNA". It matches the Rfam family "Bacterial small subunit ribosomal RNA", at positions 524 to 776 of the family's 1533-position model. The record is from RNAcentral.
UACGGAGGGUGCAAGCGUUAUCCGGAUUCACUGGGUUUAAAGGGAGCGUAGGUGGGCAGGUAAGUCAGUGGUGAAAUCUCUGGGCUUAACCCGGAAACUGCCAUUGAUACUAUUUGUCUUGAAUUAUCUGGAGGUAAGCGGAAUAUGUCAUGUAGCGGUGAAAUGCUUAGAUAUGACAUAGAACACCAAUUGCGAAGGCAGCUUACUACAUAGUUAUUGACACUGAGGCACGAAAGCGUGGGGAUCAAACAGG